RNAcentral lists this ribosomal RNA (401 nucleotides) under Macuxitermes triceratops. RNAcentral describes it as "partial 16S ribosomal RNA". The record is from RNAcentral. Lineage: Eukaryota; Metazoa; Arthropoda; Insecta; Blattodea; Termitidae.
CAAAAACAUCUUUUCUUGUUAGUUUUUGAGGUAUGGCCUGCCCGCUGACUUUGAGUUGAAGGGCCGCGGUAUUUUGACCGUGCAAAGGUAGCAUAAUCAUUAGUUCUUUAAUUGUGAUCUGGUAUGAAUGGUUUGACGAGGCACAGACUGUCUUAGGGGUAUGAGUGAGCUUGAAUUUAGAUUUUGGGUUAAAAUUCUUAGAUGUUUUUAUGGGACGAGAAGACCCUAUAGAGUUUUACAUUUGUCUUGGCUUGUGUCGGUUUGUUUUGAGGAAAUAUAAGUCAAUUUAAUUGUUUUGUUGGGGUGAUGGGAGGAAUAUUGUUUAACUCCUCUUUGUUUGGCGGUAUAUUUAUUUAUAUUUAUUUGAUCCAUUUAUUUUGAUUGUAAGAUUAAAUUACCUU